UCCUUGAGGACGGAUCCAAUUUGCAAAAAAUGUGGACGCAAAGUGGCUGCAAAAGCAGUCAAUACAUCCAACAUCUUCGCUCAUAUUCGCGGACACCAUCCCUCCGUGCAGAUAAAGGUAUGUCGCAUUAAUAACAAGUUAUAAGUUAAGGCCAGAGUAAGGGAUUUCU
This is a long non-coding RNA of Sinocyclocheilus anshuiensis, 169 nucleotides long. RefSeq lists it as uncharacterized. NCBI's taxonomy places the organism in Eukaryota, Metazoa, Chordata, Actinopteri, Cypriniformes, Cyprinidae. The record is from RefSeq and is a predicted model, not a curated record. The transcript is spliced from 3 exons.